UCAUUAAUAGUUGGUCUGAAAUGGCAAGAGGCUUGCCCGAGAUUAGCAUGCCACCACUUAUUGACCGAACCCUUCUCCGAGCAAGAGUGCCACCAAUCCCUAGAUUUCAUCAUCUCGAAUAUGACCGACCUCCUUCCUUAUACACCUCUACAUCACUUGGCCCUAAUAACCAUAAACCCUUAACUGUAUCUAUUUUCAAGAUCACACAAAAUCAACUUAAUACCCUAAAAGCCAAGUCAUGGGAACAUGGAAACAAAACCAAUUGCAGCACCUUCACCAUUCUAGCUGCAUACAUAUGGCACUGUGAAACUAAAGCUUGGGGCCUCUCAUAUGAUCAACCAACCAAGUUACACAUGCCAACUAAUGGACGCCCCAGACUACAUCCUCCCCUCCCAUCAAUGUACUUGGGCAACGCAAUGUUUGUAGCUUCAUUAAUUGCUCUAUCUGGAAAUCUCCAAUCAGAACCGUUUGUAAAUACCCUAGAACGAGUUCAUGGAACAUUGCAAAGGAUGAAUAAUGAGUAUCUAAGAUCAGCUCUUGACUACCUAGAAACACUGCCAGAUAUAACAAUUGCCAGGAGAACACCGGACACUUACCAUUGCCCAAACCUAAGUAUCAACAAAUGGACACAACUGUCUUUAUAUGAUGCAUAUUUUGGAUGGGGUCGACCAAUAUACAUGGGUCCAACAAACGUUGUCCAUGAAGGAAAAAUAUGUAUACUACCAAGUCCAACCGAUGAUGGGAGCUUGUCAUUGGUAACAUGCCUACAGACUGCUCAUAUGAAACUCUUCGAGAAACAUCUAUACGAAGGCUUGAAGUCAUUUGACAAGAUCAAAGCUCGAUAUUAGUUGUUUGUUCUCUCUAUCAAUAUAUGUAUAAACCUAUAAAUCUUCUACUUCUGUUUCUUUAACUAAGACUUUUUGUUUGGAUCCUGUUUAUUUGAAAUUUACCAUCUAAGUUGGCCUGGCAAACAGGUGUUUUAUUGGUAAUUAUUGUACUAUACCUCAAUAAUAGUAAUAGCAUUGAUCGCAAAGAAAUAAUAAAUUAAAAUAAGAAUACACAGAUUUUACGUGGAAAAGUCUUAUUAGAAAAAAAAUCACAGGCAGAGUAAAAAUUUACUAAUGUUGAAAAGCAACAAUACAAGAAGUUUUUUUACUACACACGUUUUAACGGUUAAAUAACAUUUUUAUAAUCAAUGUCUAAUAGAAGAUCGCUCCCACAUAUCCCCCAAAUUUGCAAUUCUAUUUUAUUUCUUUAACAAACAAGUUGCACCUCGAAUUUUUCUGACUGGAUCAAACGGGGUUCAAAUCAAACAGCUCUGACAACAACUCAAAUUAUUUUUCCAUAACCAUAUUAAAACAAAUACCGAAUAAUUGAAAUAUAUUCAAAAUUUUAAAUUAAAUUAAGUUUGGAUCAAACUCACUGAUGAUAUAUGAUUUACCUAAAGUGAAAUAAGAACUCGAAAAUAUAAAAUUUAUGGGUAAAUUUUCGUUUUGGUCACUUAAUUAAAAAAUUAUAAUUUGGUUAUUAAACUAUUCAAAAGUUUUAUUUUAAGUCAUUGGAUUGUUAAAAUUUAUAUUAUACGACUUUCUCUAUUCGCAGUGCAUGCAUCAAUUGAAAGCUCUCUUUUUCCUUCAUUUUUACAGUUCAUUUUCUAUUUUUAUGUAAAAACUUUGGACGUCAUAAAUCUGUAGACCAAAAUUUAAACAUUUUUUGCUCUGAUUUCCAACAUCGACCAUCAAAUCAAUUUAGAUCUAAGGUAUAUUUUUCUACUCAUUAAUGGAAUAAUGGGUAUCGAUCCAUCGUAUCGAUUGUUGACACCAUUUUUUGGAUGAAAACGGAGUCGACUUGGGUUUGAAAAUGAAAACGAAAAACAAGGUGUCGCGACCGAUCCUUUUUGAUGAGGUGUGAUCGGGUCACCUCGUAAAAGUGGUUGUUUUUAAUAAACGGUUUAAUUUUAUUAAAACAACGAGUUUGGUCCACGAAAUUUAGAAAAACAGGUUCGGGAGUCGGUUACGCACGAGGAAGGAUUAGCACCCUCGAUACGCCCAAAAUUGGUACCCAGUUGAUUACUUAAUGUCUUAAUGUCGAAAAUUGAAAACUUUGAAGAAUUUUAAAAAAUACGAUCCUUGUAUUAAAACGUUGAAAAUUUUCAAGAAAAUGAGGAUAUUUCACGUUAUUCGAGAAAGAGAAUCAUAUCCAGUAAGUUAGGACACAAUGUCUCGAAUUUCCGAUACGCGAAUGAAAAAUGCUUAUUUAAAAGAUAUUUAGCUAUCUCGGAUUUAAAAAAGAGAUCACGACCAGUAAGUUAGAACACGAUCUUUUUUAUUCCCGAGAUCAUUUAAAACUUAAGUUUGAAAAGAUUCGUGUAAUAAAGUUUAAAAGAAUAUUCAAUUGUUUAAAUCAAAUGAAGAAAUUGCAACCCAAUACGUUAGAGCACAAUUUCUCAAAAUAUUAAACACUGAAUAUUGCAUUUAUUUCGAAAAAUCCUCGUCUCGAGGAACCACGUGUCAUGUCCAAUGCAUUAGGACGCAACGUAUUCAAUUCUUGAUAACGAACUUUUUAUCAUUUUUUUAAAAGAGUAAUCUCGAUUAUUUAAGUUCAACGAAGAAAGUCGGAACCCAAUACGUUAGGGCUCGAUUCUCUCGAAGAUCCAAAAUAACGAAUAUUACUUAUUUCUAAAAUUUCUUUUUCGAAAUCUAAAUAAAAAUGGGUGUAAUGGAUUAACGAUGAUAAUAAUGUAAGUAAAAUAAUAAUAUGAGCAAUAGCAUCAAAGAUAAGAUAAAAUAAAAAAGGACAAAUCAAUAGCAUACAGAAUAAAUAUAUAAGCAAAUAAAGUUAAAGCAUUCGUUUAAAAUAAUAAUGAAAAUGUAAAUAAAGAGAUAAACAAAAAAUGAACAAAACUAUAUAAAAAAUAAAAGAUAUAUAUAUUAUAUGCAUAAAUACAUUUGUACAAAAAAAAGGAUAUGUAAGUUGAAAUAUAGAAAAAUAUACGUAAGAAAAAAAUAGGUUUUUAAAACAUAAAAAGUAUGUAUAAAUAUGUUUAUAUGUAAUAAAAACACGUAUGUAUAUAUGAAAUACAACAAUAAUAAAGUAUAAAUAUGUACAUUUAUAUAAAUGGAAAAAGUAGAUAUGUAUAUGUAUAUAUAUAUUAUAAAGCAUAAAAAUAAGUAUUUAUAUAAAUAAAAAUUCGUAUGUAUAUACAUAUAUAUUACAUAAAGAUAAAAGGUAUAAGUAUGUAUAUUAUAAAAUAAAACCGUGCAAGUAUGUACAUAUAUAGAUGAAUUAUAAAGUAAGUAAAAUAUGAGUAUGUAUAUAACAAAGUCUAAAACGGUAUAAAUAGGUAGAUCAAAUGCAAUAAUAAUAAUAAUAAUAAUAAAUUAAAUAAUAAAAAGGGCUAAAUUGAAAACAAAACAAAAUAAGAGAGGAAAAAAAUCAAAAAUGAAAAGAAGUCAAGGAUUAAUCCGUGACGCGCUUGAAAGGAGAGGGACCGAGGCUGCAAAUAAACCGAAGCCCCCAAAACGCAGCGCAGCAGUGGACUAAAUUGAAACAAAAAUAAAACUUUGUGGCCAAAUUAAAAAUAAAAGAAAAUGCGAAAAGGGGCCAAAUUGCGACACACUUCAAAGUCAGAGGGACUGCGUGCGCAAAUAUCCCCUUUAGCGAAAACACGCUGAUCCUCCCCUCGGGUCGGAUCACCGCGCGGGUCAAGGGAGCCUUAAACGUCGCCGUUUUGAAAUUCCUAUAAAAGCUAAUUUUUUUCUGCUAUUUCAUUUCUUAAAAAAAAACAUAAGAAAAAACAAAAGGGUCUUCCCCUUUCUCUGCUAGGGUUCCAAACUUGGAACCCCGCCGCCGUCUGCCGCAUCUCCAUCGCAGCGCCACCAAGGACGGUGGCCGGAGUCGUGCGAGAAAAAGGGAUUUUUAACCCUCAUCGUGUGGCAUCCUUGAGAUCUCAGAUCUCUCAACCCGCGGGAAAGAGGGAAACCCACAACCCCUCUCGGACCCGAAUCGGCGACGGAGGAGAAGCCCUCCGACGGCGCAACCACGGUGGUUCCCGGUGAGUCCCCUUUCCCUUUUUAUUUUCUAUUUAAUGUACGAAAUAAAGAAAAUAAAAUAAAUAAAUAAAGAAAUGCGAAUCUGAUAUCAAGCCUUGAAUCUAUUUUUUUGAUUGUUUUAUUUAUAUGAAAAUGUUACAAAAGAAAAGAAAAAGCCCCCCGAUUCAGUGAUGAAGCCCCCUCUUACAAUCAAAAUCCCUAUAUUCUACUGCUAUUGUGUCUUUUCUUUUGUAGGUGGAGCAGGUGAGGGCGUCGGUGGCAAGUGGGCAUGGUGAUGGGACGUAUGCGGCGGCCAGCAGAGCUAGGGUGCAGAGGGCUGCAGCGCUAGGGUUUCUUUUCUGAAACCCUAGCUUGACUUUUGGGGAAUUGGGCUCCGAAUUUGGGCCUCGGGUUUGGGUUAGGCUAGUUGGGUUUAUUGUAUUGGGUUGUAACUGGAAUUGGAUCAUUUGGGUUUGGGUGGUUUGGGCUGAGUCUGUUGGGUUAUUGGGCUGAUGUUUGUUAGUUUAGGGUUAAUUGGGCCCAGGCAUAAAAAUUGGGCUUGUACAAUAAAUAUAUAUUUUUUAUUUUUAUUUUUUAAUUUUAAAAUACGUUAAAAAUAUUUUUUUUUAUUUUUAAAAUAUUUUUUUUGUGUUUAUUAAAAAUCGGGCUGGGCCCGGGCUUAUUAUUUUUUUCUCGGGCCGGGCCUGGGAAAAAUUUCAGGCCCAUAUUUCGGGCCGGGCCGGGCCCGGGCCUAAGAGUCGGGCCAAAUUUUUUCCCGGGCCCGGCCCGAACCCGGCCCGGCCCAUGGACAGGUCUAGUGACAGUACAAAUGGGUUUUAAAUGCCAACUACGAUGUCCAAUUAUUAGGACAAAAAUAGGUUUUUAAUUAAAUAAAUUAAAUUUAGACUGCCACGUAGGACCGUCAUAAGGGAGGUAAGAGAGCUUAAUGAUAGAGUGACCAAUUCGUAACAGAACGAUAACAUUAGUGACUAAAACGUAACAUUUCAAACUUAAGUGACUAAAAUGUAAUCUGAAGCAAAUAAAAGUGACUGUUUUAAAGUUUACCCUUAAUGUAAUUAUUGGCGGAUGAUCUGGCCGCACCGACAAACAGCAGAAAUUGAGUCAUUUUCGUAAUUAUUUACAAAAUUUGGGUUACUUUUGUAAAAAAACCAGAGAAGAGAACCUCGCCUCUUCUUAAGAUAGCCGGACACUUUCUAACUUUCCCUUCUUUCAGUUUUUCAUCAACAGGUUUGCCUCUUACCAGAACAUCAAUGGAUGUUAGUGUAAAGAGAUGGAGCAUGAUACGCCCUGCCCAAGAUACUCCUAAAGAAAGGCAAUGGAUUUCAAAUCUGGACAUGGUGAUAACAACAUACCAUGUCCCUUUGCUGUUUUUCUACAAACCAAAUGGCUCCUCUGAUUUCUUUAAGCCUCAAGUGCUACAGGAGGCUUUAAGCAAGACUCUUGUGCAAUUCUAUCCUAUGGCUGGGAGGUUGGGACAUGAUGAAAAUGGUAGGCUCGAGAUAUUAUGCAACGCAGAGGGUGUUCUGUGGAUAGAAGCUGAAACUACAUCGGCCAUGGAUGAUCUCGACGGUUUUACUCCCUGCUCAAAACUGAGGAAACUGGUUCCCACGGCUGAUUACUCUGGAGAUAUCAGUUCUUAUCCGCUUAUUAUGGCUCAGGUAAGUGAAUGAAGAACUAUUAUCUUAUUGUAGAUGAUAACUGUUACUUGCAGUAGGAGACCAAGGAUAAGCUCUGAGAAAACUCAAACAGUCUGAUACUGAAGUUAUAGCACAAGAAAAACUAAGCUAUCAGCUAAGAAGUUGAUAUAUGGCUUUUUUUUCUCAAAACUGACUUAAAAGAAUCGAUUAAUUAUGAAAAUUACCCAGGUAUAAUAUCUUAUAUGAGAAUGACCCGUUUUCUACCGUAAAAAUUGGUACCGCUAGACUAUUUAGCGGUACCGAUAUUUUUGUAAAAGUAUUACCAUCAACAAAUUAUCGAUAUAUACUUUCCAUUCAUCUUCACAAGAAAGUGCUAAUUACGGAGGUCCAUGGUGGUGGCUUAGUAGUGAUGAAGAUGAAACCAAAACCCUUUUCUCUUCAAUGAACCUCUGGUUUGACUCAUUUGUAAUAAUUAUUUUCGCUCGUUGGAUACACCCGCAUUUUAAAUGGAAAACUGUAAUAAUCCUCACCGAAGAAAAGCAAAGAACAAGAUUAAUCAAAGCGAACAAUAUUGUUACAAAUGAGUUAGGAGAGAGGUUCAUUGAAGAGAAAAGGGUUUCGAUUUCAUCUUCUUCACUGCUAAGCCACUGCCAUGGAACUCUUAGACCUUUCUCAUGAAGCUAAACGAUACCAUCAACAAAGUAUAUCCUUUUUACAAAACUAACAUCGGUGCCAACAAUGAGUCCGGCAACAUUCAAAAAAUAUAUUUUUUUAAAAAACAUGGGGUGGUGCUUCAAUGGAAAUGGUGGCACCAAAUUUUAUGAUAGAAAAUGGGUUAUUCUCGUACAAAAUUUUACACUUGAGUCAUUUUUAUAAUUAAUAAAAAUUUUUGGUCAAUUUUGAAAAAAAAAACUUAAUGUUUUUGUUUCGAAAAGGUCAAUUGUUGAGUGUAUAUUUUGCUAGGUAACUACUCUUAAAUGCGGUGGAGUUUGUCUUGGAAUAGCAACUCAUCAUACUUUGACUGAUGGCACAACGACCUUACAUUUCAUUAAUAGUUGGUCUGAAAUGGCAAGAGGCUUGCCCCAAAUUAGCAUGCCACCACUUAUUGACCGAACCCUUCUCCGAGCAAGAGUGCCACCAAUCCCUAGAUUUCAUCAUCUCGAAUAUGACCGACCUCCUUCCUUAUACACCUCUACGUCACUUGGCCCUAAUAACCAUAAACCCUCAACUGUAUCUGUUUUCAAGAUCACACAAAAUCAACUUAAUACCCUAAAAGCCAAGUCAUGGGAACAUGGAAACAAAACCAAUUACAGCAC
Molecule: long non-coding RNA, 7005 nt
Filed under: Gossypium barbadense (sea-island cotton)
Lineage: Eukaryota; Viridiplantae; Streptophyta; Magnoliopsida; Malvales; Malvaceae
Description: long non-coding RNA (GBAR_LNC017461)
Source: RNAcentral